Molecule: long non-coding RNA, 328 nt
Filed under: Olea europaea (common olive)
Lineage: Eukaryota; Viridiplantae; Streptophyta; Magnoliopsida; Lamiales; Oleaceae
Description: long non-coding RNA (OEUR_LNC013885)
Source: RNAcentral
UAAUCCAAGCUUGAUCAGUUGGGUUUAAACUAAUAAUUGAGUUGGAUUGAUUUGAUUUUAGAUUAAAUAUAUCAUGGAUUAGGUUAGGUUGGGCUGGGUUUGGGUUUGGAUAAAAAAACCAACCGACGCCUAGCCCUAGAGCACAGAAUUAGGUUUGCUUUCUUCUUUUGUGAACUUUUCUUCGCUUCUGACGGUUUACUGUUUUAUUUUCUUCUUAUCCUUGAAGAAGGAGCUACUGAGUUGGCAGCGAGAAAUGGAAAACGGAGGCUACGAAAUACCUGAAAACGCAAACGAACGUAUGCAAUUUCCAUUAGUUUCAGUUUCANNN